CAGCCGCCACGGGAAUGCGUAGGGUGCAAGCGUUAAUCGGAAUUACUGGGCGUAAAGCGUGCGCAGGCGGUUUUGUAAGACAGAGGUGAAAUCCCCGGGCUCAACCUGGGAACUGCCUUUGUGACUGCAAGGCUGGAGUGCGGCAGAGGGGGAUGGAAUUCCGCGUGUAGCAGUGAAAUGCGUAGAUAUGCGGAGGAACACCGAUGGCGAAGGCAAUCCCCUGGGCCUGCACUGACGCUCAUGCACGAAAGCGUGGGAAGCAAACAGGAUUAGAUACCCCCGUAGUCCCUGUCUCUUAUAC
This 301-nucleotide ribosomal RNA is filed under the name uncultured bacterium. Its description in RNAcentral is "partial 16S ribosomal RNA". It matches the Rfam family "Bacterial small subunit ribosomal RNA", at positions 509 to 807 of the family's 1533-position model. The record is from RNAcentral.